This 406-nucleotide ribosomal RNA is filed under the name uncultured bacterium. RNAcentral describes it as "partial 16S ribosomal RNA". It matches the Rfam family "Bacterial small subunit ribosomal RNA", at positions 29 to 526 of the family's 1533-position model. The record is from RNAcentral.
AUUGAACGCUGGCGGCAGGCCUAACACAUGCAAGUCGAGCGAGCGGCGGACGGGUGAGUAAUGUCUGGGAAACUGCCUGACGGAGGGGGAUAACAACUGGAAACGGUAGCUAAUACCGCAUACCAUCAGAUGUGCCCAGAUGGGAUUAGCUAGGGGGUGGGGUAACGGCUCACCUAGGCGACGAUCCCUAGCGGGUCUGAGAGGAUGACCAGCCACACUGGAACUGAGACACGGUCCAGACUCCUACGGGAGGAAGCAGUGGGAAAUAUUGCACAAUGGGCGCAAGCCUGAUGCAGCCAUGCCGCGUGUGUGAAGAAGGCCUUCGGGUUGUAAAGCACUUUCAGCGGGGAGGCGUUACCCGCAGAAGAAGCACCGGCUAACUCCGUGCCAGCAGCCGCGGUAAUAC